RNAcentral lists this ribosomal RNA (467 nucleotides) under uncultured bacterium. Its description in RNAcentral is "partial 16S ribosomal RNA". It matches the Rfam family "Bacterial small subunit ribosomal RNA", at positions 28 to 507 of the family's 1533-position model. The record is from RNAcentral.
GAUGAACGCUGACAGAAUGCUUAACACAUGCAAGUCGACUUGAAUGUGGGUUUUUAACUUCGGUUUGGGUGGCGGACGGGUGAGUAACGCGUAAAGAACUUGCCUCACAGCUAGGGACAACAUUUGGAAACGAAUGCUAAUACCUAAUAUUAUGAUAAUAGGGCAUCCUAUAAUUAUGAAAGCUAUAAGCGCUGUGAGAGAGCUUUGCGUCCCAUUAGCUAGUUGGAGAGGUAACGGCUCACCAAGGCGAUGAUGGGUAGCCGGCCUGAGAGGGUGAUCGGCCACAAGGGGACUGAGGCACGGCCCUUACUCCUACGGGAGGCAGCAGUGGGGAAUAUUGGACAAUGGACCGAGAGUCUGAUCCAGCAAUUCUGUGUGCACGAUGAAGUUUUUCGGAAUGUAAAGUGCUUUCAGUUGGGAAGAAACAAAUGACGGUACCAACAGAAGAAGAGACGGCUAAAUACGUG